GAUGAACGCUGGCGGCGUGCCUAACACAUGCAAGUCGAGCGGAAAGACGAGGCUUGCGCCUUGCUUCAGUGGCGGACGGGUGAGUAAUUCGUAGGUGACUUACUUUUCGUUAGGGCUGACGUCAGGGAACGGGCGCUGAUACCACAUACGUCCUGAUGUUGAAAGUGAUGGUUCUACAGUCCUCGCGGUAUCGGCUGAGCCUAGGACAUAUUAGCUAGUUGGUGGGGUAAAGGCUUACCAAGGCGGCGAUCCGUAACUGGGCUGAGAGGGUGAUCAGACACACUGGAACUGAGACGCGGUCCAGACUCCUACGGGAGGCAGCAGUGGGGAAUAUUGGACAAUGGGCGAAAGCCUGAACAAGCAACGCCGCGUGGGUGAAGAAGGUCUUCGGAUCGUAAAACUCUUUUAGUUGGGAAGAAGGGUAGUGAGAGAAACCAUGCCUGUUUUGACGGUACCUAAAGAAGAAGCACCGGCUAACUACGUG
RNAcentral lists this ribosomal RNA (484 nucleotides) under uncultured bacterium. RNAcentral's name for it is "partial 16S ribosomal RNA". It matches the Rfam family "Bacterial small subunit ribosomal RNA", at positions 28 to 507 of the family's 1533-position model. The record is from RNAcentral.